UUCGAUUAAUUAAAAAAAGAUUUGACAGGGAGAAAAGCAAUUGCAACAAUCAUCACAUAAUUCGAGAUAACGAUUUAAGGUUCAAGUCUGGAGUCUCAAUUUUUAUUUUACAAAGAGAAAGAGCAAUUCCCAAAGUAUCAUUAGCCAGACCGAUUCGACGAGCUCUUCGCUGGACCUAACCCAAUGGGAUCGGAGUCAACAAUUAAGAUUACAUCCAUGUUUGUCUGAUCCCAAUCAUUGGACAUAGAAAGAGGGAGUCGAUGGUUUAUCAUUUUUGUGUAAUAAUUUUUGAAAAUGUAGUUUAUCAUGUGCUCUCCUAAUUUAAAAAGAAGAGAGCAAGAAAUGUUGUAUACUCCCGCCUUCUUAUUGGGCCGACCCAUGAUGUUGAGUUGAUAUAAUGAUAUCUUGAUAAAUCAACAGGUCCGAUCACCUAUAUUUAGUAAGAUUGGCAACAACUCUAGGGAUUUCCUUACCAUUUAUAGCGAUCUGAUUGUCGUUCACAAAGAUCCGCGUCACUCACUAGUCAAGUUUCGCCCUCGGCUCUUUCUGUUUCGCCGUCGAUCGCCUACACCAUAUCUUUCACUUGCUUACGUUCUUCUCUGUUCAUUUCUUGCCACUGAUUGGUUUCAUCUUCUAUUGCUUGCAAGCCUCGUCUGGUGUCCGUAACUAUCGCCUCACGCCUUAUGUAAGUUAAUUCUCUUAAGAUUCAGUGAUAUGUAAGUGGCACUUCCUCAUUUGUUGAUUAAACAUCAUUCGGUACCAGAUAUUUGUUAUCUGUCAUUUCAUGGCACACUGAUUUCUGAUGUAAUAAAAAUUGUGUACAUAGUGAGAGUUUUUAAAUCGGGUCGAUCAAAAUCUGAGAUAAAAUAUUGAACUGGAGCCCAAUCCAGUUUAGGUGUCGGGUUUGUUCGGGUACGGGUUUAAUAAAUUAUUUGACUAUUUUGCAUUAAAAAAAUAAUUUGAAAAUUAUAAUUAAAUAAUUUUUAAAUUUUAUAAAAAUCAAAUAAUAUGUAUGUGAAGAUGGAGAGUUUGUGAAGAUGAAGAGGUUCGACGACGGUGAGGAGAAAGCCGACGACAACGAAGAGAGGGAAAAUAAAAGCGAAAGAGAAGAGGAAAAUAAAAUUAGAGUUUAAAUUUUAGAAUAUAAAAUUAACUAAUUAAGGUUUAUAAAAGAUGAG
RNAcentral lists this long non-coding RNA (1178 nucleotides) under Zostera marina. RNAcentral's name for it is "long non-coding RNA (ZMAR_LNC003990)". Lineage: Eukaryota; Viridiplantae; Streptophyta; Magnoliopsida; Alismatales; Zosteraceae. The record is from RNAcentral.